GGUAACGCGUGAGAAUCUGCCCUCAGGACGGGGACAACAGCUGGAAACGGCUGCUAAUACCCGAUGUGCCGAGAGGUGAAAUCUAAUUGGCCUGAGGAUGAGCUCGCGUCUGAUUAGCUAGUUGGUAGGGUAAGAGCCUACCAAGGCGACGAUCAGUAGCUGGUCUGAGAGGAUGAUCAGCCACACUGGGACUGAGACACGGCCCAGACUCCUACGGGAGGCAGCAGUGGGGAAUUUUCCGCAAUGGGCGCAAGCCUGACGGAGCAAGACCGCGUGCGGGAUGAAGGUCUGUGGACUGUAAACCGCUUUUGAUAGGGAAGAACACAAUGACGGUACCUAUCGAAUCAGCCUCGGCUAACUCCGUGCCAGCAGCCGCGGUAAUACGGAGGAGGCAAGCGUUAUCCGGAAUUAUUGGGCGUAAAGCGUCCGUAGGUGGUGAUGCAAGUCUAUUGUCAAAGCAUGAGGCUUAACCUCAUACCGGCAGUGGAAACUGCAUUGCUAGAGUGCGAUAGGGGCAAGGGGAAUUCCCAGUGUAGCGGUGAAAUGCGUAGAUAUUGGGAAGAACAUCGGUGGCGAAAGCGCCUUGCUGGGUCUGCACUGACACUGAGGGACGAAAGCUAGGGGAGCGAAAGGGAUUAUAUACCCCUGUUCUCACGCGUUAUC
Molecule: ribosomal RNA, 663 nt
Filed under: Leptolyngbya thermobia PUPCCC 112.20
Lineage: Bacteria; Bacillati; Cyanobacteriota; Cyanophyceae; Leptolyngbyales; Leptolyngbyaceae
Description: bacterial SSU rRNA
Rfam family: Bacterial small subunit ribosomal RNA
Source: RNAcentral